GGGUCGAUGGCGUAGUUGGUUAUCGCAUCUGUCUAACAUCACUGCCGCACAGAAGGUCCUCAGUUCGAGCCUGGGUCGACUCA
This 83-nucleotide transfer RNA is filed under the name Sphagnurus paluster. RNAcentral describes it as "tRNA-Val". Lineage: Eukaryota; Fungi; Basidiomycota; Agaricomycetes; Agaricales; Lyophyllaceae. The record is from RNAcentral.